Molecule: ribosomal RNA, 155 nt
Filed under: Pelargonium connivens
Lineage: Eukaryota; Viridiplantae; Streptophyta; Magnoliopsida; Geraniales; Geraniaceae
Description: 5.8S ribosomal RNA
Rfam family: 5.8S ribosomal RNA
About the family: 5.8S ribosomal RNA (5.8S rRNA) is a component of the large subunit of the eukaryotic ribosome.
Source: RNAcentral
UCGGCAACGGAUAUCUCGGCUCUCGCAUCGAUGAAGAACGUAGCGAAAUGCGAUACUUGGUGUGAAUUGCAGAAUCCCGUGAACCAUCGAGUUUUUUAACGCAAGUUGCGCCCGAAGCCAUUAGGCCGAGGGCACGCCUGUCCUGGGCGUCACGC